CCCUUAGAUGUUCUGGGCUGCACGCGCGCUACAAUGGCGUUUUCAAAAAGAUUGCUAAUCCGAAAGGACCAGCGGAUCUUCGAAGUGGCGUCGUGAUCGGGACAGUUGAUUGCAAUUAUUCGACUCGAACGAGGAAUUCCUUGUAAUCGUGCGUCAUCAACGCACGCUGAAUACGUCCCUGUUCUUUGUACACACCGCCCGUCGCUCCUACCGAUCGAGCGAUCCAAUGAAUGUUUCGGAGCGGAACUGAGAUGCUAAUGCGUCUCUUUUACGCGAAUUUGUGUGAAUUUGAUCGCUUAGAGGAAGGAGAAGUCGUAACA
RNAcentral lists this ribosomal RNA (320 nucleotides) under uncultured eukaryote. RNAcentral describes it as "partial 18S ribosomal RNA". It matches the Rfam family "Eukaryotic small subunit ribosomal RNA", at positions 1470 to 1796 of the family's 1831-position model. The record is from RNAcentral.